This 457-nucleotide ribosomal RNA is filed under the name bacterium enrichment culture clone LiUU-12-43. RNAcentral describes it as "bacterial SSU rRNA". It matches the Rfam family "Bacterial small subunit ribosomal RNA", at positions 361 to 811 of the family's 1533-position model. The record is from RNAcentral.
AUUUUGGACAAUGGGCGAAAGCCUGAUCCAUCCAUGCCGCGUGAGUGAAGAAGGCCUUCGGGUUGUAAAGCUCUUUCGGCCGGGACGAAAUCGCAUGCGUGAAUAUCGUGUGUGGAUGACGGUACCGGAAUAAGAAGCACCGGCUAACUACGUGCCAGCAGCCGCGGUAAUACGUAGGGUGCGAGCGUUAAUCGGAAUUACUGGGCGUAAAGCGUGCGCAGGCGGUUUCGUAAGCCAGAUGUGAAAUCCCCGGGCUUACCUGGGAACUGCAUUUGGGACUGCGAGGCUAGAGUACGGCAGAGGGAGGUGGAAUUCCACGUGUAGCAGUGAAAUGCGUAGAUAUGUGGAGGAACACCGAUGGCGAAGGCUGCCUCCUGGGCUAGUACUGACGCUCAUGCACGAAAGCGUGGGGAGCAAACAGGAUUAGAUACCCUGGUAGUCCACGCCCUAAACGAUG